AUUUCAAAGGAUCCUAUACUCAUAUCUUUGAACAAAAAUAGAAAGCAAAGAAUGUUAUAGUGUAGAUUAUUCUCACAAAUAGUUGAGAAUCUGACAAUUUAGAACCACGGUGUAAAAAUUUGCUGUCACUUCUGAGAGUAUUGACUUCUUUUUGCUGGACACAACACAACACACUCACCUCUCCACCUGUCCUUAAGCAAUGAACCCUGCUAUCUAAGAACCAGUCUAAUUCCCCUGCCAUUCAGGGGCCUUCCAGAGUCAUGGUGGUCCUCACUGAACUUCUCUGCUGGAGCUUCCAUAGUACUGGUAAUCUAUACCAC
Molecule: long non-coding RNA, 320 nt
Filed under: Bos taurus (domestic cattle)
Lineage: Eukaryota; Metazoa; Chordata; Mammalia; Artiodactyla; Bovidae
Description: long non-coding RNA NONBTAT011258
Source: RNAcentral